AUGAACGCUGGCGGCGUGCCUAAUACAUGCAAGUCGAACGAAGAUGAUAGCAAUAUUGUCUUAGUGGCGAACGGGUGAGUAACGCGUUGGUGACCUGCCCCGAAGUGUGGAAUAACAAUUCGAAAGAAUUGCUAAUACCGCAUGUGAUCUUGGAGAUUAGAACCUCUUUGAUUAAAGGAUUUAUUCGCUUCGGUAGGGGCCUGCGUCCCAUCAGCUAGUUGGUAGGGUAAUGGCCUACCAAGGCUUUGACGGGUAGCGGGCCUGAGAGGGUGGCCCGCCACAAUGGAACUGAGACACGGCCCAUACACCUACGGGUGGCAGCAGUAGGGAAUAUUAGGAAUGGGCGAAAGCCUUAACGAGCAACACCGGGUUG
RNAcentral lists this ribosomal RNA (373 nucleotides) under uncultured bacterium. RNAcentral describes it as "bacterial SSU rRNA". It matches the Rfam family "Bacterial small subunit ribosomal RNA", at positions 29 to 404 of the family's 1533-position model. The record is from RNAcentral.